UACGGGGGGGGCAAGCGUUGUUCGGAAUUACUGGGCGUAAAGGGCGUGUAGGCGGCCUAGCAAGUCAGCUGUGAAAGCCCCAGGCUCAACCUGGGAAUUGCAUCUGAAACUGCCGGGCUAGAGUUCAGGAGAGGAGGGCGGAACUCCCAGUGUAGCGGUGAAAUGCGUAGAUAUCGGGAGGAACAUCUGUGGCGAAGGCGACACCCUGGACCAGCACUGACACUGAGGCACGAAAGCGUGGGGAGCAAACAGG
Molecule: ribosomal RNA, 253 nt
Filed under: uncultured bacterium
Lineage: Bacteria
Description: partial 16S ribosomal RNA
Rfam family: Bacterial small subunit ribosomal RNA
Source: RNAcentral